This is a non-coding RNA of Apaloderma vittatum (bar-tailed trogon), 73 nucleotides long. Lineage: Eukaryota; Metazoa; Chordata; Aves; Trogoniformes; Trogonidae. The record is from Rfam.
GGCCAGUUAGCUCAUUCAGUAGAGUGUAGCGCUAACAACGUUAAGGACGCGGGUUCAAUUCCCGCUCGGUCCC